Molecule: non-coding RNA, 55 nt
Organism: Salmo salar (Atlantic salmon)
Lineage: Eukaryota; Metazoa; Chordata; Actinopteri; Salmoniformes; Salmonidae
Source: Rfam
UGCAUUCAAUUCUGUAAGUCGCUCUGGAUAAGAGCGUCUGCUAAAAUGACUAAAA